GGCCAAGUCCUGUGCGAUUUCAAGACGUGAACCCUGUCAGAUCCGGAAGGAAGCAGCAGUAAGCGUAGUUUGAGAUGUGCUGCAGGGUCGCUUGGCUUGA
This 100-nucleotide signal recognition particle RNA is filed under the name Clostridiales bacterium. Its description in RNAcentral is "signal recognition particle sRNA small type". It matches the Rfam family "Bacterial small signal recognition particle RNA". From Rfam's summary of the family: The signal recognition particle (SRP) is a universally conserved ribonucleoprotein involved in the co-translational targeting of proteins to membranes. Archaeal SRP consists of a 7S RNA and homologues of the eukaryotic SRP19 and SRP54 proteins. Lineage: Bacteria; Bacillati; Bacillota; Clostridia; Eubacteriales. The record is from RNAcentral.